UCCUUAAUAGCUGAGCGGUAGAGCAAUCGGCUAUUAACUAACUGGUCUUAGGUUCAAAUCCUACUUAGGGAG
Tetracentron sinense is the source of this 72-nucleotide non-coding RNA. The record is from the annotation of a GenBank genome assembly. Lineage: Eukaryota; Viridiplantae; Streptophyta; Magnoliopsida; Trochodendrales; Trochodendraceae.